RNAcentral lists this ribosomal RNA (612 nucleotides) under uncultured bacterium. RNAcentral describes it as "bacterial SSU rRNA". The stretch from base 1 to 523 matches the Rfam family "Bacterial small subunit ribosomal RNA", at positions 338 to 873 of the family's 1533-position model. The record is from RNAcentral.
CCUACGGGAGGCAGCAGUGAGGAAUUUUCCGCAAUGGGCUAACGCCUGACGGAGCAAUGCCGCGUGGAGGAGGAAGGCCUGUGGGUCGUAAACUCCUUUUCUCAGAGAAGAAGAUCUGACGGUAUCUGAGGAAUAAGCAUCGGCUAACUCUGUGCCAGCAGCCGCGGUAAUACAGGGGAUGCAAGCGUUAUCCGGAAUUAUUGGGCGUAAAGCGUCCUGAGGUGGCUUACCCAGUCGACUGUGAAAGCUCAAGGCUCAACCUUGAAACGGCAGUCGAAACUUGUAAGCUUGAGUACGGUAGAGGCAGAGGGAAUUCCCGGAGGAGAGGUGAAAUUCGUAGAUAUCGGGAGGAAGGCCAAAGGCGAAAGCACUCUGCUGGGCCGAUUACUGACACUGACAGACGAAAGCUAGGGGAGCGAAAGGGAUUAGAUACCCCUGUAGUCCUAGCCGUAAACGAUGGAUACUAAGUGUUGCGCGACUCAACUCGUGCAGUGCUGCAGCUACGACGGUAAGUACGUCCGCCGUCGGGAGGUAGUGCGUCGCGAGAGUAGAAACGUUAAAGGUAAGUUAGACGGCGUGAGACGUGCCGACGGACGACGACGAGGGAGGAGG